Non-coding RNA from Schizosaccharomyces pombe (fission yeast), 592 nucleotides. NCBI's taxonomy places the organism in Eukaryota, Fungi, Ascomycota, Schizosaccharomycetes, Schizosaccharomycetales, Schizosaccharomycetaceae. The record is from the annotation of a GenBank genome assembly.
GCAAUACUAAAUCCAACCUUCUGAAACCCUUUUUUCUUACGGUGUAUAUGUCAUGAGUUAAUAACGUAUUAGAGCUCAAGCAUGUCUUCUUCGAAAACGCCGUAGUCAUCGUCGUUCUUUUUCUUUUGCUUUCUCUUCCUCUUUUUCGUUUCUCUUUUUUGAUUAAUCUGUGUUAUACUGAUUAAUACUACUAAUAAAUUUUCUAAUUUCAUAAAUUCAACAUACCAUCUCAUGUAUCUUUUCUUCUGAAGGAGUGACCCUCAUUGUUUUUUUAAGAUAUAUAAUGUUUUCAUUUUUUUUCUUCUCUUUCAACCUUUGUUGCUGUUGAACAAGUUUUUUGGGUUCAAAUGGCCUUUCCUUUUUGGCUAAUCGUUUUCUGCGAAAGUAGCCAUCCUCAUUAGCAUUUGGAUUUUUUUGCGAUUCAAUGAGUUUCUGUAAGGCAGAUUGGGCCUUAAGUUUCGACAUAAUGGCUUUUUAAGGGGGAUAUGCCGUAAUUUGGAAUUUUGGAAAAAAUGUGUGUUUAAGGAUAAUUGACUAGUCAAGCAAAGCAAGGAUGUGCAAGCUAAAAAAAUGAUAUAAAAACUUUCAAAAU